UACAGAGGGUGCAAGCGUUGUUCGGAAUUAUUGGGCGUAAAGCGCGUGUAGGCGGCUUUGCAAGUCGGGUGUGAAAGCCCACGGCUUAACCGUGGAAGUGCGCCCGAAACUGCAGAGCUUGAGUGUCGGAGAGGAUGGCGGAAUUCCGCAAGUAGAGGUGAAAUUCGUAGAUAUGCGGAGGAACACCGGUGGCGAAGGCGGCCAUCUGGACGACAACUGACGCUGAGACGCGAAAGCGUGGGGAGCAAAC
Molecule: ribosomal RNA, 250 nt
Filed under: uncultured bacterium
Lineage: Bacteria
Description: partial 16S ribosomal RNA
Rfam family: Bacterial small subunit ribosomal RNA
Source: RNAcentral